This 350-nucleotide ribosomal RNA is filed under the name Faecalibacterium prausnitzii. RNAcentral describes it as "partial 23S ribosomal RNA". It matches the Rfam family "Bacterial large subunit ribosomal RNA", at positions 177 to 533 of the family's 2925-position model. The record is from RNAcentral. Lineage: Bacteria; Bacillati; Bacillota; Clostridia; Eubacteriales; Oscillospiraceae.
GGGGGAACCGCCUGAACUGAAACAUCUAAGUAGGGCGAGGAAGAGACAUCAAACGAGAUUCCGUAAGUAGUGGCGAGCGAACGCGGAAGAGGGCAAACCGAAGGUAGAAAUACCUUCGGGGUACGGAGCGCAUUUAAGACUUAAGUUGUUAACCGAACGGCAUGGGAAGGCCGGUCAGAGAGUGUGAGAACCACGUAGGUGAAAACGACAAGAGCUGAGCGAUUUCCAGAGUACGGCCAGACACGUGAAACCUGGUCGGAAGAUGGGGGGACCACCCUCCAACCCUAAAUACUACCCAGUGACCGAUAGCGUAUAGUACUGUGAAGGAAAGGUGAAAAGCACCCCGGGAG